RNAcentral lists this ribosomal RNA (458 nucleotides) under Calanus pacificus. Its description in RNAcentral is "partial small ribosomal RNA". Lineage: Eukaryota; Metazoa; Arthropoda; Copepoda; Calanoida; Calanidae. The record is from RNAcentral.
UACCUUCAAAACAAGUUAAUUAAUCUUAUCAUAAAAAUACAAAUAGUAAAGUUAUAUGUUAGUUGUGAAAAAAAAAUCUUUUUACUUUUUGUUUUAACCUGUUGAAAAAGAAGUAAAAACUGGGGUUAGUAGCCCACUAUAACCUAAGUAAAUUUUUUAAGGUAUUAAAAGCCUAGUCUCUAAACCUAAAAAACAUGGCAGUAUUUUACCCCUUGCAGAGGAACUUGAAUAUUAAUUAGAUAUUCCUCUUUUUUUCUUACUUAAUUUUUUUUUAUGUGUGGUUGUUAAAAUAAGUAUAAAAUUAUAAGUUGUAAAUCAGAUGACAUGUAUAAAUAAUUAAGGUAAUUUUAGUUACAAUUAAAUAAUUUAAUAGGCAUAUAUAGGAUUUGCAAGUAUUACGUUAAAAAAGUAAGAAGAGGUUUUAAAAUGUGUACAUAUUGUCCGUCGCUCUCAGAAAU